GACGAACGCUGGCGGCGUGCUUAACACAUGCAAGUCGAACGGGCCUGUCUUCUUUUUUGGGGGGUGGGUUGAGUGGCGAACGGGUGAGUAUCACGUGAGUAACCUGCCCUUCGGUCCUGGAUAACCGCUUGAAAGGGCGGCUAAUACGGGGUGGUCCGGUUGGUCCGCAUGGGCCGGGCGGGAUAGAUUCACUGUUUUUGGUGUUUCGGCGGGGGAUGGGCUCGCGGCCGAUCAGCUCGUUGGUGGGGUGAUGGCCUACCAGGGCGGGGACGGGUAGCCGGCCGGAGAGGGGGGGGGGUCAGACUGGGACUGGGAUACGGCCCAGAGUCCUGCGGGAGGCAGCAGUGGGGGGUAUUGCACAAUGGGCGGAAGCCUGAUGCAGCGACGUCGCGUGAGGGAUGGAGGCCUUCGGGUUGUGAACCUCUGUUUCCGGUGGUGAAGGCCCUGUCCGUGUGGUGGGGUUGACGGUAGCCGGGGAUGAAGCGCCGGCUAACUACGUG
This 500-nucleotide ribosomal RNA is filed under the name uncultured bacterium. RNAcentral describes it as "partial 16S ribosomal RNA". It matches the Rfam family "Bacterial small subunit ribosomal RNA", at positions 28 to 507 of the family's 1533-position model. The record is from RNAcentral.